This 443-nucleotide ribosomal RNA is filed under the name uncultured bacterium. Its description in RNAcentral is "partial 16S ribosomal RNA". It matches the Rfam family "Bacterial small subunit ribosomal RNA", at positions 338 to 795 of the family's 1533-position model. The record is from RNAcentral.
CCUACGGGAGGCAGCAGUGGGGAAUAUUGGGCAAUGGGCGCAAGCCUGACCCAGCAACGCCGCGUGAAGGAAGAAGGCUUUCGGGUUGUAAACUUCUUUUCUCAGGGACGAAGAAAGUGACGGUACCUGAGGAAUAAGCGACGGCUAACUACGUGCCAGCAGCCGCGGUAAUACGGAGGGGGCAAGCGUUAUCCGGAUUUGAUGGGUGUAAAGGGCGUGUAGGCGGGGAGGCAAGUCAGAUGGGAAAACCAUGGGCUCAACCUGUGGCCUGCAUUUGAAACUGUUUUUCUUGAGUACUGGAGAGGCAGACGGAAUUCCUGGUGUAGCGGUGAAAUGCGGAGAUAUUAGGAGGAACACCAGUGGCGAAGGCGGUCUGCUGGACAGCAACUGACGCUGAGGCGCGAAAGCGUGGGGAGCAAACAGGAUUAGAUACCCCGGUAGUA